Molecule: ribosomal RNA, 248 nt
Filed under: uncultured bacterium
Lineage: Bacteria
Description: partial 16S ribosomal RNA
Rfam family: Bacterial small subunit ribosomal RNA
Source: RNAcentral
GCAAGUCGAACGGCAGCAUAGGUGCUUGCACCUGAUGGCGAGUGGCGAACGGGUGAGUAAUGCAUCGGAACGUGCCCAACUGUGGGGGAUAGCUCGGCGAAAGCCGGAUUAAUACCGCAUACGAUCCACGGAUGAAAGCGGGGGACCUUCGGGCCUCGCGCAGUUGGAGCGGCCGAUGUUAGAUUAGGUAGUUGGUGGGGUAAAGGCUCACCAAGCCAACGAUCUAUAGCUGGUCUGAGAGGAUGAUC